RNAcentral lists this long non-coding RNA (270 nucleotides) under Felis catus (domestic cat). RNAcentral's name for it is "lncRNA (ENSFCAG00000052332.1)". Lineage: Eukaryota; Metazoa; Chordata; Mammalia; Carnivora; Felidae. The record is from RNAcentral.
CUCUGUUUACAGAUAUGGUGAUCCCUCAGUGUGAUCCAGACUCAUCUGGCUGUUACCAGAAUAUUUGGAUAAUUGGAAUGAAGACCCUAGGAAUUUAGAAACUACCUAAUUUCAUCCCUUCACUUAAAGACAAGCCUCGGAAACUAGGUGACCGUCCAAUGGACCUGAUCGCAAGGGACUCAGAUCGGGCAGUUUUUAAAAGCCAUCAUAGCGAAACAUACCAGAAUGCGUCACGGAAGUCCUGAAAAAUAAAGAAUGAAAUAACAAACA